AGCGAACGCUGGCGGCAGGCCUAACACAUGCAAGUCGAACGAACUCUUCGGAGUUAGUGGCGGACGGGUGAGUAACACGUGGGAACGUGGCUUUUGGUUCGGAAUAACACAGGGAAACUUGUGCUAAUACAGAAUGUGCCAUUCGGGGGAAAGAUUUAUCGCAAUUAGAGCUGCACGCGACUGAUUAGCUAGUUGGUGAGGGAACGGCUCACCAAGGCGACGAUCAGUAACUGGUCUGAGAGGAUGGCCAGCCACACUGGGACUGAGCCACGGCCCAGACUCCUACGGGAUGCAGCAGUGGGUAAUCUUGCGCUAUCGGCUAAAUCCUGACGCAGCCAGGCCGCGUGAAUGAUGAAGGUCUUAGGAUUGUAAAAUUCUUUCACCGGGGACGAUAAUGACGGUACCCGGAGAAGAAGCCCCGGCUAACUUCGUG
RNAcentral lists this ribosomal RNA (433 nucleotides) under uncultured bacterium. RNAcentral describes it as "partial 16S ribosomal RNA". It matches the Rfam family "Bacterial small subunit ribosomal RNA", at positions 29 to 507 of the family's 1533-position model. The record is from RNAcentral.